UGCAAGUCGACGAUGAAGCCGCUUCGGUGGUGGAUUAGUGGCGAACGGGUGAGUAACACGUGGGCAAUCUGCCCUUCACUCUGGGACAAGCCCUGGAAACGGGGUCUAAUACCGGAUAACACUCUGUCCCGCAUGGGACGGGGUUGAAAGCUCCGGCGGUGAAGGAUGAGCCCGCGGCCUAUCAGCUUGUUGGUGGGGUAAUGGCCUACCAAGGCGACGACGGGUAGCCGGCCUGAGAGGGCGACCGGCCACACUGGGACUGAGACACGGCCCAGACUCCUACGGGAGGCAGCAGUGGGGAAUAUUGCACAAUGGGCGAAAGCCUGAUGCAGCGACGCCGCGUGAGGGAUGACGGCCUUCGGGUUGUAAACCUCUUUCAGCAGGGAAGAAGCGAAAGUGACGGUACCUGCAGAAGAAGCGCCGGCUAACUACGUGCCAGCAGCCGCGGUAAUACGUAGGGCGCAAGCGUUGUCCGGAAUUAUUGGGCGUAAAGAGCUCGUAGGCGGCUUGUCACGUCGGAUGUGAAAGCCCGGGGCUUAACCCCGGGUCUGCAUUCGAUACGGGCUAGCUAGAGUGUGGUAGGGGAGAUCGGAAUUCCUGGUGUAGCGGUGAAAUGCGCAGAUAUCAGGAGGAACACCGGUGGCGAAGGCGGAUCUCUGGGCCAUUACUGACGCUGAGGAGCGAAAGCGUGGGGAGCGAACAGGAUUAGAUACCCUGGUAGUCCACGCCGUAAACGUUGGGAACUAGGUGUUGGCGACA
RNAcentral lists this ribosomal RNA (759 nucleotides) under Streptomyces sp. Its description in RNAcentral is "bacterial SSU rRNA". It matches the Rfam family "Bacterial small subunit ribosomal RNA", at positions 56 to 831 of the family's 1533-position model. Lineage: Bacteria; Bacillati; Actinomycetota; Actinomycetes; Kitasatosporales; Streptomycetaceae. The record is from RNAcentral.